Long non-coding RNA from Nannospalax galili (Upper Galilee mountains blind mole rat), 624 nucleotides. RefSeq lists it as uncharacterized. The record is from RefSeq and is a predicted model, not a curated record. The transcript is spliced from 2 exons. Lineage: Eukaryota; Metazoa; Chordata; Mammalia; Rodentia; Spalacidae.
UUUAUGUGGUUACAGUGGCAGCUAAUUUGCAGAAAAUUGUGGAAGAACCUCAGUCAAAUCGAUCUGUCACUUUUAAGCUGGCUUCUGGGGUUGAAAGCUCGGAUAUUCCUGAUGAUGGCAAACUCAUAGGAUUUGCCCAGCUCAGCAUCAGCUAAACCACGGUCCUGGAAGAGUCGGCCUAAGGAGAUUCUACACAUGCGUAUCUCUGUUGCUUCUGUUGGCCUAAAACCCACUACUGCCAAAGAACCCAGCAACAAACCUCCCGGCUUGGAGCUUUAGAGUUCUUACAUUAUGUUCCUCCUGCCAUUAUUCCCUCAUUUUCCCAUAGGGAAAGAAAAGUUGGAUCACCAGUGGCCAGCAUCCCCUCAACAAGUUCCGUUAGUGGACAUGCUGCUCAUGUUCCCUAUCUUCCUCCACCUGAGAAGCAGCCAGUGUGCCUCAUGGCCCAGGAUGGAAAUCUCUCGGCUCAUUCUUGCCUUACUCCAGUGAUGGCCCAGGUGAAAAGUAGCAGCUGCAUUGGGCAUCUUCAUUGUGCCUGUUCUCACACACCUGCCAGGAUUUGGGCAUCUUGGGAUAUCUCUUUUAACACUGAAGUAGCAAUUAAAAGUUGAUUGUUCAGCUGGA